GAUGAACGCUAGCGGGAGGCUUAACACAUGCAAGUCGAGGGGCAGCAUAGGGUAGCAAUACUCUGAUGGCGACCGGCAAACGGGUGAGUAACGCGUAUGCAACCUACCCUGUACAGGGGGAUAACCCGGAGAAAUUCGGACUAAUAUCCCGUAAUAAUAUCCGGAGGCAUCUUUGGAUAUUUAAAGUUUCGACGGUACGGGAUGGGCAUGCGUAACAUUAGCUGGUUGGUAAGGUAACGGCUUACCAAGGCUAUGAUGUUUAGGGGUCCUGAGAGGGUGGUCCCCCACACUGGUACUGAGACACGGACCAGACUCCUACGGGAGGCAGCAGUGAGGAAUAUUGGUCAAUGGGCGCAAGCCUGAACCAGCCAUCCCGCGUGCAGGAAGACGGCCCUAUGGGUUGUAAACUGCUUUUCCAGGGAGAGAAACUUACGCACGUCGUUGCGUGACUGACGGUACCCUGGGAAUAAGCAUCGGCUAACUCCGUG
RNAcentral lists this ribosomal RNA (488 nucleotides) under uncultured bacterium. RNAcentral describes it as "bacterial SSU rRNA". It matches the Rfam family "Bacterial small subunit ribosomal RNA", at positions 28 to 507 of the family's 1533-position model. The record is from RNAcentral.